This 241-nucleotide long non-coding RNA is filed under the name Vigna radiata. RNAcentral describes it as "long non-coding RNA (VRAD_LNC003099)". The record is from RNAcentral. Lineage: Eukaryota; Viridiplantae; Streptophyta; Magnoliopsida; Fabales; Fabaceae.
UAUUUUUUAUAUAAAAAAGGGGAAAGGUUUUCUUAGCACAAGGCCUACGCGAACGGUCGCACGUGUGCUUUAAACCCUUUGAAAUAAUUUUGUUAAUUUUUGAAAGAAGAAAAAGUUUUCAGCGUAAGACUGACAGAAUGGUCGCACAUGUGCUUAAACCUUUAAAAUGAAAUUUUGUUGAUUUUUAAAAAGAAGAAGAAAAAGUUUUCAGCGCAAGGCUGACAGAAUGGUCCCACCUAUG